This 925-nucleotide ribosomal RNA is filed under the name uncultured archaeon. Its description in RNAcentral is "bacterial SSU rRNA". It matches the Rfam family "Archaeal small subunit ribosomal RNA", at positions 1 to 903 of the family's 1478-position model. The record is from RNAcentral.
UUCCGGUUGAUCCUGCCCGGACCUUACUGCUAUCGGGGGUGGGACUAAGACAUGCGAGUCGAGCGUCUCUAGCUAUGUUGAGACGCGGCAGACGGCUCAGUAACACGUGGCUAACCUACCCUCAGGACGAGGAUAAACCCGGGAGACUGGGGCUAAUACUCGAUAGGUGAGAAUGUCUGGAAUGAUUUCUCACUCAAAGGGCCUUGGGAACAUGCUUCCAAUGUCGCCUGGGGAUGGGGCCGCGUCCGAUCAGGUUGUUGGUGAGGUAAUGGCUCACCAAGCCUAUAACCGGUACGGGCCGUGAGAGCGGUAGCCCGGAGAUGGGUACUGAGACAAGGACCCAGGCCCUACGGGGCGCAGCAGUCGCGAAAACUCCGCAAUGCACGAAAGUGUGACGGGGCUACCCCGAGUGCCAUCCGCUGAGGGUGGCUUUUCUUUGGUAUAACUAGCCGAGGGAAUAAGGAGAGGGCAAGACUGGUGUCAGCCGCCGCGGUAAUACCAGCUCUCCGAGUGGUAGGGAUGAUUAUUGGGCUUAAAGCGUCCGUAGCCGGCUUAGCAAGUCUCCUGUUAAAUUCAGCGACCUAAUCGUUGAGCCGCGGGAGAUACUACUAGGCUAGGAGGCGGGAGAGGUCGACGGUACUUCUGGGGUAGGGGUGAAAUCCUAUAAUCCCGGGAGGACCACCAGUGGCGAAGGGUGUCGACUAGAACGCGCUCGACGGUGAGGGACGAAAGCUGGGGGAGCGAACCGGAUUAGAUACCCGGGUAGUCCCAGCCGUAAACGAUGCGGGCUAGGUGUUGGAAUGGCUACGUGCCAUUUCAGUGCCGCAGGGAAGCCAUUAAGCCCGCCGCCUGGGGAGUACGGCCGCAAGGCUGAAACUUAAAGGAAUUGGCGGGGGAGCACCACAAGGCGUGAAGCUUGCGGUUC